This is a non-coding RNA of Paramuricea clavata, 801 nucleotides long. The record is from the annotation of a GenBank genome assembly. NCBI's taxonomy places the organism in Eukaryota, Metazoa, Cnidaria, Anthozoa, Malacalcyonacea, Plexauridae.
ACGCAAAUUGCUCUGGCAAGUGUCAUUCGUCGUGUUUUCAGUCAAAAGCAUAGGAAAAACACCGUUCGAAAGUAGAAAAAUAAAUAUUUUUGCGAAGUUGCUCAACCGAUCUUCAUUUUGGAACUCAAAUUUGAAAGAUAAAUGGUAAGUGGUUAUUUUUAUGUAAAAAUAUAUACGUUUAUAGGCUAAAUACAAAGAAAAAAUAGUAUAAUACAAAUUACAAUCUCGGUGCUUGUGAUGUUCUUGCCAAGAAGCAGAUUCCCAUUUCGCUAAAUUAAUGCGGGCCAAACGUAUUGCUUUCCUGUCUUUUACAUUAAUAAGAAAGCAUAGGUGCUGAUUUGAAACACGUCCAUCAGGUUCCAUGCAUGUAGCUUUGCGAUUUGUGAGCAAAAAUUAAAAGUUAAACUACCUAUGUUUUUAAUACUUUCUGUGCAACUAAUAACCACAUUCACAAAUAUAUUCUCCAGCAAAGAAACGUUUCUUUACGGAUUGUUAAUCCGCAUUUGAAGGCAUGCUUAUGCCUUCAAAGGUCAGAGGUCUUUAACAUGCAGAAUAGCAGAGACUACUGUCAUUGACAUCCUUUGUCACAAAAUUAUGAUGGCAUAUUGGACAGCUACUGUAUGUUGGAUAAGGCACUUCCUUAAUAAAUAGCCUGACACAUAAGUUCAUGCAGACUAAGUUUUGUUCAAUUUCAUUUGUUUUGUAGUCGGUAUCUUCAACUGCUUGGAUUAGUGGUGGGCUUGUCUGAUCAUUUCCUGCAGAUAAAUCAGAUUGGCUAGGGUGAAAUGCAAUCAAAUAGGC